This 453-nucleotide ribosomal RNA is filed under the name uncultured Bacteroides sp. Its description in RNAcentral is "partial 16S ribosomal RNA". It matches the Rfam family "Bacterial small subunit ribosomal RNA", at positions 341 to 792 of the family's 1533-position model. Lineage: Bacteria; Pseudomonadati; Bacteroidota; Bacteroidia; Bacteroidales; Bacteroidaceae. The record is from RNAcentral.
ACGGGAGGCAGCAGUGAGGAAUAUUGGUCAAUGGGCGGAAGCCUGAACCAGCCAAGUCGCGUGAAGGAUGAAGGUAUUAUGUAUUGUAAACUUCUUUAGCCAGGGGGCAAUAAGGCGUACGCGUACGCCGAUGAGAGUACCUGGAGAAUAAGGAUCGGCUAACUCCGUGCCAGCAGCCGCGGUAAUACGGAGGAUCCGAGCGUUAUCCGGAUUUAUUGGGUUUAAAGGGUGCGCAGGCGGCUUUUUAAGUCAGUGGUUAAAUCGUGACGCUCAACGUCAUCACGCCAUUGAUACUGGAGAGCUUGAUUGCGGUCGAGGUUUGCGGAAUUCGUCGUGUAGCGGUGAAAUGCAUAGAUAUGACGAAGAACUCCGAUUGGGAAGCCAGCUUACUGUAGCGCCACUGACGCUGAUGCUCGAAAGCGUGGGUAUCGAACAGGAUUAGAUACCCUGGUA